Molecule: long non-coding RNA, 648 nt
Organism: Salvia splendens (bonfire salvia)
Lineage: Eukaryota; Viridiplantae; Streptophyta; Magnoliopsida; Lamiales; Lamiaceae
Exons: 4
Source: RefSeq, a predicted model, not a curated record
AUAUAUUUUUGAGCCUAUCACUUUUGUUUUUUUAGCCCAUUUAUCCUUAUGCUAUUGGGCUACUUUUAAUAUAGCCAUUUUUUCCUAAAUCAUUUCUACAUGUUUUCUUUUCUUCUCAAAAACCUCCACUCCUAAAAUCUCUCCGCCACUCCUUAAAAAUCUCCAACUAAAUACUCUAUUAACUCCAUUUAUACAUCUCCUCCCACAAUCUCAACCAACCGUCGUUCCUGCAGCUUUUCUUCUCUUCAUUGAAGUUUGAGGGAGAAACCCAGAGAGUUGCAAUUUUUUUUUCAAUACCUUCUCUUCUGCAAGUUUUGCCUCUCCGGAAGGGUGAACUUGUGCACGUUGUUUACAGUGGGAACAGAAAGUGGUUUGAGGAAAUAAGCGUUUGAGAUUGAGCGGCGAUGGACGAGGAGGAUGUCGAGCAGAGUUCAUGGAUUGUUUUGUCAUGAUUAAUAAAUGUUGGGUUUGUCGUGUCUUCAUACUCGACAUUUUCCAUGUCUUGAACGCUUCCGCUAAGAGUCAUUUUCUUUAGAAUUGUUUAUUCGUGCAGAGUCUAACUCGUUUGAAAAUUGUUUAUUGUCCUUUCUUUAUUUACUUAGAGUUGGCAUUAUUGUUAGGAUAAUAUUAUGACGUUUUUAAGGUUAA